RNAcentral lists this long non-coding RNA (1095 nucleotides) under Mytilus galloprovincialis (Mediterranean mussel). The record is from RNAcentral. Lineage: Eukaryota; Metazoa; Mollusca; Bivalvia; Mytilida; Mytilidae.
CAUGGAAGUAUUAUAUUGACAGGAACUACUACGACCCGACUUCAAACGUUUCAUCUGCGAUGCCGCGCCCAAUUUAAUGACAUGUUAAUUAAUUAGCUUGAAACAUGGCACGUUAUUUACAUACCAGCGUGUGGUGCCCUACAAUAUAGUCAUUCUCGGUUACUUUUUUGCUUUAACUCGAAUAAUUCAAGCCCUUUCCGUGUCCGAUUUUCUCCCACACGAGGGCUUGAACUCCUUGUGAUCAUUGGCCGUGUCGCCUGCUCUCUGUGAGAGAGAGCCAAUCAGCGGCGAUCAGGAUAUGAGUCUGCGCAACUCUCUUGAAAUUGUCUUACCAAACACGUGUGUUCAAUUAACACAAAUCCGAUAAUAAUUAAUUAACAUCAAUUAACAUCAGUUUACAUCAUUUAUCAUCAAUUAACAUCCGGAACUCCUCCUUCUUAGCUGCCAAUUUAAAUCAAAAUUCCCAUAUUGCAAAGUGGUGUGAAUUUUUCGGUUGACGGUCUUGAUCGAGGAAGACGUUCAGGCGUUAAUGUAGCCUUCGUAGAUCAGCGGAAUAUAACGACUGAAUUAUUCGGGUUAGGUUGCUUUCGGGAUUACGGAAAUAAACGAAGAAAUCGAAAGUUGUGAUAAAUUCUUAGGAAACAGCAAUCGGCAAACCUCGGCAGAUUCCGUUACCCUACAUCUGCACAUGUGUGCCGAUUGAGUGAUUGAUGGAUUAAUGCGAGUCAUCAUUAAUUCUAUAGAAAAACACAUUGACGAUGGAAAUUUAUCCAAAUUUAUUGAAUAAAUGCCCCAUUUUUAUUGAUUUAUUUUUGGAAAUUGGACUAUAUGUAAUAUAUAUAUCGCAGGUUGUGAUUAUAUGUUUUCUCAACUGAGUGGCACACAUUUCCUGCAUAUUUAAGACGAUUGUAAAUUAUCGUUCUAAUAACAUCAAAAGAUCAAAGAGAUUUUAGAUAAAUGUAGGAAUUAUUAAGCUUCGCUCUAAAUCCAGGGUAAGAUCAUUGAUUAGUAUAAACCAAUGUUCAGCUGAACCCCGAUAUGUUGAAUUUUUUUUAGUACUGCGACUCAAGGAUUUGUAUAGUGACACGUUAAAAA